CACUUCCUCCUCCUUUGCUGGAGCAAGACGCGUGUUUACACAGACUCAGAUUCAUCUUCUCACCACACAGGACUGCAGCGUCACCUCGAACUUGAACGCCUGGCGGAGGAGGCCGAAGUUUCGCGGAGAGCCUCAGUAGGACAGAGAAUAGAAAGAGGAGCCUGGUUUGUUCGUUAGCUUUCCUCAGCUCACCAGUUUCCUGGAGAAAGCGGAUUCCCUCCAACUCCAAGGCUGGCUUGGCAAGCAGCUGCUGCUGCUCCUCCUCAUCCAGGUCCAUCUUCCAGGCCGAAGCUGCUCUUUUUGAGGUCGGAGGAUCCGGGAUGCUGACCAGCUAAUGCAAACACUUCAUUCGCCGUGCCGAGGGGGAGACCUCCGCACCUUCGACCAAUGCAAAGUCGAAGCGUCAGCCAGAAGUAACCAAUCAAGGAGAAAGGGGGCGGGCGCUGACGGCUGGAGGAGGUGGAGAAGCGAAGAAGCGGGAGAAAGGGGAGCGGAGUGGAGUCGAGUCCGGAAGAAGACAACUUUUACCUCCUUGUGAGGAAUCUGAUCCAAAAAGCUUCUAGAACCUGGCAGUUAACCCACGCGUUUGAUUAAAAAAUGUAUUGAACCUCA
Long non-coding RNA from Monodelphis domestica (gray short-tailed opossum), 612 nucleotides. RefSeq lists it as uncharacterized. The record is from RefSeq and is a predicted model, not a curated record. Lineage: Eukaryota; Metazoa; Chordata; Mammalia; Didelphimorphia; Didelphidae.